Molecule: ribosomal RNA, 447 nt
Filed under: uncultured KB1 group bacterium
Lineage: Bacteria; Candidatus Calescibacteriota
Description: bacterial SSU rRNA
Rfam family: Bacterial small subunit ribosomal RNA
Source: RNAcentral
GUGCCAGCAGCCGCGGUAAGACGAAGGGCGCAAGCGUUAUCCGGAAUUACUGGGCGUAAAGGGCGUCUAGGCGGCCAGUCAAGUCGACGUUGAAAUUCCUCGGCUAAACUGAGGGAGGUACGUCGAAACUGACCGGCUAGAGGGACGUAGAGGUAAGCGGAACUCUCGGAGUAGCGGUGAAAUGCGUAGAGACCGAGAGGUACCCCGAUGGUAAAGACAGCUUACUGGGCGUCUCCUGACGCUGAAGCGCUAAGGCCAGGGGAGCGAAGGGGAUUAGAUACCCCCGUAGUCCUGGCUUCAAACGAUGUGGGCUUGGUGUCGGCCCCCUAUAGAGGGUCGUUGCCGGAGUUAACGCGUUAAGCCCACCGCCUGGGGAUUACGUCCGCAAGGAUGAAACUCAAGGGAAUUGACGGGGGCCCACACAACCGGUGGAGCACGUGGUUUAAU